GCGCUCGCUUCGGCAGCACAUAUACUAAAAAUUGGAAUGAUACAGACAUUAGCAUGGCCCCUGCGCAAGGAUGACAUGCAAAUUCAUGAAGUGUUCCAUAUUUUU
This is a small nuclear RNA of Fukomys damarensis (Damara mole-rat), 105 nucleotides long. NCBI's taxonomy places the organism in Eukaryota, Metazoa, Chordata, Mammalia, Rodentia, Bathyergidae. The record is from Ensembl.